UACGUGACCUGACCCUGCGUGGGGGAUACCGGUCCGAAAGGGGCCGCUAAUACCGCAUGGGGCUGCCGGGGGUGCCCGGCAGGCAAAGGUGCUGCGCAAGCGGUGCCGCGCGGGGAGGGGCGUGCGGCCGAUUAGCUUGCUGGUGGGGUAAUGGCCUACCAGGGCUGUGAUCGGUAGCUGGGCUGAGAGGCCGGACAGCCACACUGGGACUGAGACACGGCCCAG
This 225-nucleotide ribosomal RNA is filed under the name uncultured bacterium. Its description in RNAcentral is "partial 16S ribosomal RNA". It matches the Rfam family "Bacterial small subunit ribosomal RNA", at positions 118 to 334 of the family's 1533-position model. The record is from RNAcentral.